AUGCGGCCGCUGACAUCACAAUAGCAGCGCCCUAGGCUGGAUUGUGAAUUCAUGCAUAGAACCAGACCUGCUCUACACCUAAUGCCAAAAAAAGCCUGCAAAGUUCUCCUCUGCUACAAAGCAACACAAAAAGCGCUCCUAUUCCAUCACUUGUUGCUCAAGGCAUGUAAGAGUAGAAACACACUGAGCCCCUAGAGCCCACACUGAGAAGCUGAGCACUGAGAAGGGACCAGGAUGUGAGGAGCCGCAGUAGUGGUCUUUGACCACUAUUUCUGCUGAGCAAAAACCAGAAAGCUUGUUCCUUUGUUCUAGAAAUCAGAAAACAAGGAGAAGCACUGCUUUAAUUACAUUUAGAGGUUUUUCCUAGCAGAACCAGGCAAGCCAGAGUGGUGACACUGAUCCCAAGUGAGUCCAGCCAAGCCAAGUGGAGCCCAGCAGGGUGGUAGGAAGAGGCAGCAAAGUGGCAGAUCCCAUUCCCACACACAUGCCCAGCAUGGCAGACUGAUGGCAGGGGCAGUGCCAAACAGAGCUCUGCAGGGACAGAGAGACACCCAUCACCAUCGCCACUGCCACCAUCCCUGCUGCAGAGAGGGAGCAGGAAACUGCCACUGCAGGUGCACAGCUGCUCCAGGCAGCACCAGCAGCCCCCAUCUACCAUCAGAACCAUUCUGAGAGAGAGGAGAGGCUUUACAAGGACUACCUCAAGAAGAGGACAUAGAAUGGAGGGAAGGCCUUAGAAAGAAUAAACAACCCUCAUGCUGCCGCUUUUGCAAGGAAUAAAUAUCCAAGUUUCUUAAUAUCCAGCCACAAAUCUGUGGAGUCUUGACAACCAAGAAGCACAGGAACCUGGACACCUUGUUGUGAGAGACUAGAGGAGAUUGCUGGCUCAACACUUUUCAGGGGCUUGUAUGUGGGGAAGGGGGCAGAUCAAGGCUUGCUCUGGUGAGGCCAUGCCCCACUCUGCACGCCCCACACCCCCAGGCCUGUAUCCCAGCCCAGCAGUGGCCACUGAUCCCUGGCACACCAGAGGCAAUGCUCCACACCUGUGUCUGGAGCCCCUAACCCAGCUCCUAAAUGGCCAGGUGAGUGGGAGCCCCAUGUGGGGGAAGGCCCCAGGAGAGCCAAAGGCUAUUUACCUUGGGAUAUGUGGCCACCACAUGUCUUGACCCUACCUCUUCUUGGAAUUUCUAUCAGCUGAACACCACUGGAACCAGGAGUGAUAGCUUUGUUGGUUCUUUUAUGUCAUUCUCUCUUUCUCUUUCUUCUCCCUUUUCCCUCCUCUCAGAUUUUUGAAUAACUUAAAAUGUAACAGGUUUAGUAAUCUAAAUGUAAAUUAACUUGCAGAGAUUAUAAAUUGAAUGGGCUAAAUUAAUGCUUCAUGGAAUGUUUUAUGUUGAUUGAAUCCUGCUCUAAAUUAUUUUUGCCUUUCAAGUUCUCUGAUUUUCAAACGUUGCCAAUGAAGGGUUUUUAUGUUGUUCCGAACUCUUGAGAACAUCUCAUCAGUAUUUCUCCUGCUUUUCUAACUUACAGUACAUGAACAAGUUUAAAUCCUUUUAAAGUAUCUCAUAGAGCAAUGUUUUUGGAGGCUUGCAUUUUAAUUGGCACAGCAAGCAGGGUACUCUUGAGGUGAUAUGGGCCUUUUAUACAGCAUUAACUGUUCAUGACAUAAUAAAGGAGAAUAAAUUUUCAGUCAAAGCUGCUCUUUUCUGGCAGAAAAGUAAUAGAAUCCCACGCAGAAACUGAUCUGAACUGCUCUCCAGUGACGCACUUGCUAAAAGCUUAUAUAGAAAGCUUGUCCAGCCCUAAAGAGAGAUGGGGAUGGAGAGAAACUAGCACCAUCCACAGUUACUUGUGGAGAAACAUGAAAUUUGGUAGAAGAAAAUUAAAAACUCCAAGUAAAGGACCAUGCCUGGUAUCCAUAUGCAUGGAGGUUUGACUCAGAGCUGUAUGGUGCCCAUCAGCUGGAAAAGGAGCUGCAUCAGCUGCAAAUUGCUGAGCCUGAAACAAUAGCCAGCCUCAGGCCAGAGUAGGAAUUGAAUGCCAGGAUGAAGCCAGCCCCCAAACCAUGAGAAACCAGUGAAACACGCUCCUCCAAAGCCAAAGAGCUUUAGAGUUGCAAUUUAACACUGCUGGGGAAGGCCUGGAAGCAGUGUUUUCCAUAGCCCAGGAACAGCCAGGCCUUCCUGACUGCAAGGUCAGCCCCACAGCCCUUGGGAGGGCUUUAGUGCCUCAAAGUCCAACCCCGCGCCUCACCCUAAACUCUGCCCACCCCUAUAAAAUACAGAGGCAGGAUGCCCCGAAGAUGAUGUCACCUUCCUCUGCUCCCUGGAGGAGAGGUUCGGCUCUGCAAAGCCAAUCUUCUUCCCUCCUCAUCCCAAGGCCUGCUCACUGAUAAAGAAGGAAUUGGCUUAUCAGGAUGCAGUGUCUGCAGUGAUACCUCAUUCUGCAGCAGAAGUGGUUGAACUACACGGGAAAAUAAGCAAUGAUCGCAAAGAAAGGGAAAUGGAGAAUGUUUUGCGAAUUUGGAUUUGGGGGAAUGAAAUAGAACUUUUGGAGAAGGAAGCACAUGGUGAAAAUCCCUGGUCUUUUGCCUGGGGAACAACCUGUGAUGUGACAAGUUUGGACCCCUUACAGGGGAGAGAACCCCAAGCAAUGCAUGAGAAACAGCUGAUGCCCGUUGACCUUCUUCUGUGUUAUUGUAAGUUAUUUCAACAUUCAAGGAUCAAAACUGAGAAAACAAAAUCUUGGCACCACCUCCAAAAAGUUAUGGUUGUUGAUAGAAGGUGGUGGAUUGAAAUAUCCCCAGAGGCUCUCUGGAAAGAAAAUGGGGAUUAAAUGGGGACUCAGUUUCCCUGGAUUCUUAAUGAAGCUUUGCAAACUGCUCCUGCCCUGCCUCCUUCUGGCAGCCCUGGCUAUUGAGCCUUCUCUGCCACCAAAGGCUGGAAGCCAAAAUGCUGCUGCUAAAGCAUAACCCUUAGGAGAAAAUGAUUUUAUCAUCGUGCAAGUUUGUUUUGGUCUCACUAAUAAGCCUGAAUGUUCAAGAAUGUCCUCACUAGUCAGGAGACUGGGUGUACAUCCAGACCCAGAAAGGAGAGCCACUUAACCAGAAGUGGAAAGGACUUUUGAUCCCAUGGCUGUGAGAUUUACAGCUGGACACUCCUAAAUUAUGUGAUUAAAGUUAGCUCUGGACACAUGGAAUUGUAUUGGACAGUCCAGUAAAUGUAACUCUGCUGCAAAUAAAGCUGCAAUGGAACAUUUCUAAAGUGAAAAACAUUAAAUGGUUUCUCUUUCUGCCCAUUUCCAGAGCAGUGUCCCUGGUAUGGCAGCAUGGCUGUUUGUUCCUGAAUUAGUCAACCAUCCUAGCAGGACCAUGUACCUAAUGACUACAAUAGCAAGUAUGGCUUUGAGUGCCAGAGGGAAAAGGAAAGAAGGCCAGAAGUUUCUCUCAAGGAUUAGGUGAAAAGCCACCUCAUGGGACCUCAGGGACUUCACCAAAUACUUGAGGACAUCUAAUUGGAUAGAAGCCAAAAAGUGCCGCUUGAUCCAUCAGGGAGAAAAAGAAGAGAAGAAAAGAGCUAAGUGCUUUUGUGAAGUGUUUUUACCAGGAGCGGACUGCUGCACCUGGCUCGAGUUUUUCUCUUUGUUAUUAUACCUUUUAUUCAACCUUUUUGUUUCUAACACUGCAGCAGAAGUCAUCCUGCUAACUUUAUGCCCCCAGAGUAAUAGAUAAGCUGUUCUUGGGUGUAUUAUAUUUCUUUUGAGGGCUUAUGAGACCUGGCUAAGAAAAAGAAACAUAAUAGAGCAGAGCUGGGCAGCAGCUGGGGGUACUACAGUGCACUCACAGCCACCUGCCAACACAGCUGGCCAAAACUAAAACAAGCACAACCAAAAACCCAAACACUACAGGUGCUUGGCCUAAUAGCCUGGUUACUAAUAACAUAAGAAAACAACUAUUAAAUAUGACACCUGGGACACCAGCUGGCCAGAGCCAAUUCCCAGCUAUCCCAUAACUUGCCUUUCUGUGCAAACACAGAGGUUUCAGUUGCCCACCUUUCAGAGAGAGGAGCCUGCCAGACCAGGUUGAACAUUCAGCAAUGUCUACUUGAAUGAUCUCAAGCUUUCAGUCCAGAAGCCCAAGCUUAUGAAGUGUGAUUCUUCUUUUAAUUUCCUAGAUUCAAAACUGAUUAUUCAGCUCUACGCAUGAGGCAGUUCUCCAGAUCUAUUGAGGACAUGGAAUGGUUUGGAAAGCAAACUAAGGAACAAGGUACAGACCCAAAUUUUAUAGGACCAGGGAGAAAAUGCUAAGAGCAAAAAGGGCAAUUGUGUUUUUAUUCCAUUGUUCCUAGCUAUAUCUUGCAAUUGCUGUGGGGUAGUUAAGAGUUUAUUCAGGUUGACAACUUGAGUCAAAAGUUUAUUUCAUUCCUGAAGCUGCAGACUUGAAAUGCUUCAAGUUCUUCCAUCCCAGGGGAAUCCUGUAUGCAAAAUACUUGAAAACACAUUUUUUAUCAGAAAGAAAAAGAGAUUUAAGCAUUGUUGCAAGUGUUUUAUAUAUUAAUAGAAAUCUCAAACUACUAGGUUAAUUCCUGAGACUAUUUUUAUCUUUUGCUCUUGUGCUUAUUGUUGUCUUAUUCCAUAUUCUCUUACUGCUUGUAACCCACACUAAUUCUAUCUCACUGCAUGCAAUAAUAAAGCAAAGAAUUACCUAAGGGAUGAGAAGAACACAUUCCUCACUAUCUUGCAUAAGGAUGAAAACGGAACAUUUCAGGGACUUCAACAACUCAUUUCUCUGAAUAGGACCAAAGAAAUAAAAGGCAGCCAGCUUUAACCACUCCACAAAUUCCAGCUCAAGUAAGAAGCUCACAAAGGGCACUAAGGCAGGGAGACAUGUGGACACAUGCACACCAUCACCUCAUCUGACAAAAAUGAACGUGUUUCACAGCACCAGGCAGUUCAUGGAGCCAAACUCCUUCCCCAGCCCCAUGGGAAAGCAGUGUCAAGGCACAGGAACCGGGAAGUGUCCCAGGGGGCAGAGAUAAUGCUGGCAGCAUUUGAGCCAGCAGCACUGGCUCAGACACACUGAAGUUCAGCUGUUGCUGUGCAGCAGUUUCUUCACACUGCUAAGUUUCAUGGGGCUGGCUGUAUUUUUCACAACAGCCACUUCAGUACAGGACUGGUGUAGUGAAAAGUUCUGGAAUUCUGUUUCCUCUCUUGUAAAUUCCUAUUUCUCUUCUUCUUUAGGACACCCACAACUUGAGACACCUCAGGAGGCAACACUGAAUUGCAAGCAGUUCCCAAAGCAAGAUUGUAAAAUAUGCUCUAUGUUUAGAUUAUGUACUAUGGGGAUUUCAAAACUCUCUAUUUCCAAAAACUGUUAUUUUUCCGGUUAAGAAUGCCUGUCAAUUAAAAAGCUUAAACUUGGCCAGUUUUAACUGCAGAGGAGAAUACUCUCUGUCCCAGACUACCAUCCAAACACACCUUUGCUUGGAUACAGCUCUUGGACCUUUUAGGUAGCUUGACUACAGAACUCAAACAUCCAAGAACAGGGGUACAAAUACAAACCCUUAUGUAAACGUCUGGAAGCAGCUAGGAAGUUGCUGGGUUGUUCUCAUUCUGUAGGAAGAAUUAACACAGCAGUAAUAGAAAUCACCCUUCUCCAGAAGCAGCUCUCACAGCUAGCACACUCAAGACUGCAGCACAAGCAGUUCCUAGGUGUGGAAUCUAGUUGUUACGUGCCACCAAUAGCAUGUGGAACUGCUGCAGGAAAACACCACAGACACUUUUUCUUCUCUUUUUCUUUCAGUUCCGAAGAGAGUCAUAAAACCUGGCUGGCUGCCUGGGUAGCUAUGUUAACACUAAAAACACGGACCAGCAGAAAUUGCAAUCACACCACUACAAUCUUCCACAGAGGAGGGCAAUCCUACAGAUCAGAGUAUGGUCAAAUUGGCCCCGAAUUCUCAUUGUGUCCAUCUACUCUGGAUCCCCUUACUUGGCAUUUUUGUUUCUCAGCCCUCACAGAACUGACAGCUGAGAAAAAGAGAAAAAAACAUGAACAGUCCUUGGGUAAGUGCAAUACUGGACUGUCAGGAAAUAAAAAUAGUUGAUAGCAUCUGUAUCAGGUAUUGUUUUUUUACUCUCUACCAGUGUCCAUUUCAGGUAUCCUGAUAGCAUGAUUUAGGAUUUUGCAGCUAAAUACAAUGGGCUGCAAUUUGAGACGCCUACAAAAAAUAAAACCUUAUCAGACUUGGUUUUCCCCCAAAUGACAGUUGCAAAUUAGAAAAUGAAAGGGUCUAGAAAUA
This is a long non-coding RNA of Passer domesticus (house sparrow), 6296 nucleotides long. RefSeq lists it as uncharacterized. The transcript is spliced from 4 exons. The record is from RefSeq and is a predicted model, not a curated record. NCBI's taxonomy places the organism in Eukaryota, Metazoa, Chordata, Aves, Passeriformes, Passeridae.